Molecule: ribosomal RNA, 471 nt
Filed under: uncultured bacterium
Lineage: Bacteria
Description: bacterial SSU rRNA
Rfam family: Bacterial small subunit ribosomal RNA
Source: RNAcentral
GCAAGUCGAACGGUAGUCCUUGAGCUUGCUUAGGGAUGAGAGUGGCGAACGGGUGAGUAACACGUGGAUAAUCUGCCUCCGGGUUGGGGAUAACUGUCCGAAAGGAUAGCUAAUACCGAAUGAGAUGGCGGUUACAUAAGUAGCAGCCAUUAAAGGUGGGGACCGCAAGGCCUACUGCCUGGAGAUGAGUCCGCGGCUGAUUAGCUAGUUGGUGGGGUAACGGCCUACCAAGGCGACGAUCAGUAGCCGGCCUGAGAGGGUGAACGGCCACAUUGGGACUGAGAUACGGCCCAGACUCCUACGGGAGGCAGCAGUUAAGAAUCUUGCACAAUGGGCGCAAGCCUGAUGCAGCGACGCCGCGUGAAUGAUGAAGGCCUUCGGGUUGUAAAGUUCAGUAAGCAGGGAAGAAUAAGCAAGGGGUAAUAUUUCUUGUAAUGACGGUACCUGCCUAAAGCCCCGGCUAACUACGUG